Non-coding RNA from Ciona savignyi (Pacific transparent sea squirt), 73 nucleotides. The record is from Rfam. NCBI's taxonomy places the organism in Eukaryota, Metazoa, Chordata, Ascidiacea, Phlebobranchia, Cionidae.
GUUUCCGUAGUGUAGUGGUUAUCACGUUCGCAUCACACGCGAAAGGUCCCCGGUUCGAACCCGGGCGGAAACA